AGCGAACGCUGGCGGCAGGCCUAACACAUGCAAGUCGAACGGAUCCUUCGGGAUUAGUGGCGGACGGGUGAGUAACACGUGGGAACGUGCCCUUUGGUUCGGAACAACUCAGGGAAACUUGAGCUAAUACCGGAUGUGCCCUUCGGGGGAAAGAUUUAUCGCCAUUGGAGCGGCCCGCGUCUGAUUAGCUAGUUGGUGAGGUAACGGCCCACCAAGGCGACGAUCAGUAGCUGGUCUGAGAGGAUGAUCAGCCACACUGGGACUGAGACACGGCCCCGACUUCUAAGGGAGGCAGGCGUUGGGAAUCCUGCGCAAUGGGCGAAAGCCUGACGCAGCCCAGCCGGGUGAAUGAAGGAAGGUGUAGGAUUGUAAAAUUCUUUCAGCGGGGACGAUAAUGACGGUACCCGCAGAAGAAGCUCCGGCUAACUUCGUG
This 433-nucleotide ribosomal RNA is filed under the name uncultured bacterium. RNAcentral's name for it is "partial 16S ribosomal RNA". It matches the Rfam family "Bacterial small subunit ribosomal RNA", at positions 29 to 507 of the family's 1533-position model. The record is from RNAcentral.